UCCGGCCAUACCAUGCUGAAUAUACCGGUUCUCGUUAGAUCACCGAAGUCAAGCAUCAUUGGGCGCGGUCAGUACUUGGGUGGGUGACCACCUGGGAACACCGCGUGCCGUU
Molecule: ribosomal RNA, 112 nt
Filed under: Caerostris extrusa
Lineage: Eukaryota; Metazoa; Arthropoda; Arachnida; Araneae; Araneidae
Source: RNAcentral